GACGUAGGGCGCGAGCGUUGUCCGGAUUUAUUGGGCGUAAAGAGCUCGUAGGCGGCUUGUCGCGUCGUCCGUGAAAACCCACAGCUCAACUGUGGGCUUGCGGUCGAUACGGGCAGGCUAGAGUUCGGUAGGGGAGACUGGAAUUCCUGGUGUAGCGGUGAAAUGCGCAGAUAUCAGGAGGAACACCGAUGGCGAAGGCAGGUCUCUGGGCCGAUACUGACGCUGAGGAGCGAAAGCGUGGGGAGCGAACAGG
This 253-nucleotide ribosomal RNA is filed under the name uncultured bacterium. RNAcentral's name for it is "partial 16S ribosomal RNA". It matches the Rfam family "Bacterial small subunit ribosomal RNA", at positions 524 to 776 of the family's 1533-position model. The record is from RNAcentral.